UACGGACAUAUCACGUUGAAACACCAGUUCUCGUAUGAUUACCGAAGUUAAGCAACGUUGAGCUUGGUCAGUACCUAGAUGGGUGACUGACAGGGAAUACCAGGUGCUGUAAG
Acanthosepion pharaonis is the source of this 113-nucleotide non-coding RNA. The record is from the annotation of a GenBank genome assembly. Lineage: Eukaryota; Metazoa; Mollusca; Cephalopoda; Sepiida; Sepiidae.